This is a non-coding RNA of Callithrix jacchus (white-tufted-ear marmoset), 5546 nucleotides long. Lineage: Eukaryota; Metazoa; Chordata; Mammalia; Primates; Cebidae. The record is from RefSeq and is a predicted model, not a curated record.
GGGGGGGGGUGUUUUAUGGCGUCAGCGUGGUCGGCGCGUCAGUGACGUCAGCGGCGCGAUCCCGGCGUCUACGGUGCGUCGGAGGCGCGUUCGGCGCGUGCAGAAUGUAGGCGAUGCAGUAAGCUGGUCGGGUGCAUCCAUGGCGCGGUUAGCGGUUCGGCGGCUUCCCAGCCGCGCAAAAGCUUAUAUGAAGGCCAAUCAUGUUCAGACCCUGGCGGAGGUUCUUGCUGACCCAGGCUCUCACCGGCACAUUGUCCUUUACUGUCCUCCUGAGGGCGUCUGAGCUUCAAUGCUGUGUGCUCUGGGCCUCCAUGCUGGGGCACCACCGACUCUCGGUGUCCAGGGCUUCCAGUGGACUCUCCGAGGCACUGAUGUAGAAUCUUCCCCAUUCAGCGCACCAAGAGCAGCCUCCCACGGUGUGGGGUGACAUGAAGAGCUGUCAGAUCCAACAGAUUUCGUGUUCCUGUUAAUGGAAAAUAUCGGUGGUGUAAGUUCCCCUGGAUCUCCUCAUCUUCAUGUAAGUUUGUCUGUUCCCCCAUCCCUCCCUUGUUUCCUUCUUUUCCUUCCUUCCUGAGUUUUUUGAUCAGGGUCCUGUGAGGCUAAAAUCCAGGAAUGGCCUGGGAAUGCUUUUUCUCUAGAGCUCAGGCCAUUUUUCUGAGUUCACUACAUGUAUUGAAAGAGUUUGUAUUCUUGUUCGUGGAGGACUGAGGGCCCUUUUUCUGUGCUGGCUGUCAGCCAGGAGACACUCUGACUUCAAAUGCUACCUGCUUUUCUCCUUACCUGUCUUUUCCAUCUUUCAACCAAUCACAACUCAUGGAGUCCUUCUCAGGCGCCUCCCUUCUCUGCCUCCAGGCUCUGCGUUUUUUUUCUAUCAUUUUUGAACACAUUUUAUUUUUCUUCUUCCCCAACUCUUUUGGUUCUUCCCCUUUCCCCUCAUGGCAGCAUUCUCCACUUAAUCCUUGUUACAUCAUCCCCAGAAGAAUUGGUCAGAUAUUGCCUGUGUCACAGUCCUGAGCAUCUUUAGGAGGGGCUGUCCUUGUGAGCCUGUGCUCCUCUUCACUGUCCUGAGUUCUCACAGUCAUGAUUGCUUUCAGCUGACCUGGCUGGCUCAGGAGAAAAACCUAAGACUUUGGAGUCCCAGAACCCAUCUCUGCUCUCUCUAUCUCCAAGAAAGGAAGAAAACAACAGGGAUCUUCUUGGAGAAAUGGCCCAUGUGAGGGCCUGGACUCUCCAGCAGUUAACAGCAGAGGAAUCUUUCUGAGGAAGAAUGGAGGAGCUGAGAGCCCAGGCCAGGAAAGCAGGGUUGUGUGAAACACUCUUUAAUCCUGUGUGCUCCCUGCCCCAAUCUAGCAGCUAGUGAGUGACAGCUGACUGAGUAUAAAUGCCAGGACUAUAGAACUGUGAUAAAGGGUUUGUCCAAGGAAAGGGGCUUUUACUGUUUUUGUUUUCACAGAGGAAAUUGGUAUUUCUAUUCUAAAGUUUUCUGAAAGUCAGCAGUGAGCUUCUGGAGGGUGAGUUACCUGCUCUGCACAGGGAGGCUGAGGCCAAGGCUUGUGUGUGGGCUCUGCUGUCACCAAGAGGUGAGGGUGCCUGGGAGAGUCUUAGUCUUUCUGGGUUUCAGGUUCCUCAUGGGUAAAGUAGGGGCUUAUUGUACCUCUCUGAGGUCCCUUCCUACUCUGUUUCUCUGAGUCUCCGAGGAAUUGAGAUGGUUUUCAGUGCUCCCUGGGACCGUCGGCCGAGACCUGACUGUGUGUGUCUCCUGCAGGAGCCUCAGCUGAGUCUACAUCCUGAAAUCCCAGAGCUGAGGAAAGAAAGAAAGUCAGCAAGUUUAGGGGAUGAGAAUAAUCCAAAAAGGAUAAGCCAUUGAUAGAUGAAAACCAAAGAAGGGGAGAAUAAGGACAAACUGGGACAGAAGCCUCAGGGGAAAUGGGCAAUGCCUAUGAUCACUUAAAUUCUCAGGAAGCAGCAUGAGCUGAGCAGUGGGGACUGAGAGAGAAACUACUCCACAGGAAUCUCCUGCCUCUGGCCAGGGAGAGCCAUAGGGUAGAUCAGAGCUGGUUUAUAGUGAGGGGCAGCUUCAACUCCAGGAGGGGGAGGAUGCGACCGUGCGCCCCCCUCCCUCAGACCCAGGAGCCUCGACCUCGGGGCUGCCGUAGCAGUGGAUGCUCUUCAGGUCACUGUGGGUUCGAGGGAAUAACCGUGCUUACAGAAGGGUUGGAGGUGUUCAUUCUUACACCGAACAGCUCUGCCCUAGGUCAGGUGCCAGAGUAAGUGUCCCUCGCUUAUAUGUGAAGCAGUGAUACUUUACUAUUCUUCUGCACCUUCAGUUGAGGGAAGUUUCUCAUAAAUAUUUAUUGAGUAUUUAAUUUUCUUUAUACUGUGCUAAGCACUUGGGAUUCAGCUAUUUAAUGUCUCCAAAGAAAAGCCAGUGAGUGGAAGAACACAAAUAUCAUUUCAACAAGAUACAGUAGUUCUAACCAACUGAGGUGUUGUGGCAGCCCGGAGGCUGGGAAGGUAUGUCAGAGGACAUUGCUCCUAAUGACAGGGGGAAGCAUAAGAGAACAUUUUCAGAUUGGCCAGGCCUGGUGGCUAAUACCUAUAAUCCCAGCACUUUGGGAGGCCGAGGCGGGUGGAUCAGAAGGUCAAGAGAUCGAGACUCUCCUGGUUAACAUGGCAAAACCCCAUCUCUACUGAAAAUACAAAAGCAGUAGCUGGGCAUGGUGGUGCGUGCCUGUAGUCCCAGCUACUUGGGAGGCUGAGGCAGGAGAAUUGCUUGAACCCAGGAGGUGGAGGUUGCAAUGAGCUGAGAUCACACCAUUACACUGAAGCCUGGGUAACUAGAGCAAAACUCUGCCUCAAAAAAAAAAAAAAAAAAUUUCUGAACAGGCUAGCCUUCCUUCAAGCUCCCACAGGAGAGGAUCCUGGGGCAGGGACGGUGUAGGGCAGGCACCUCUCUAGAGAAGGGGAUUUGCAGCAUUCUGAGGGAAGGAGAAUCCUUAGUAGACACUGGGGACAGAAAUGUAGGCGAAAGGGUCAGAGGUUUGUAAUCAAUUUUAUUCAGUCAUGGAUGAACACUGCUGAGAGACCCCUCUGUGCUGGGCCCUUAGCUGAGAACCAUGACCACAGAGGUGAGUAAAAUAGGAUCCCAGCUUUCACACAAUUCUCAGUCUAGUGACUGGUGAUUGAUGAGAAGUGUAGUCAUGGUGGGUUCAUUGGAACCAGUGGCCGAUGCUGCAUGAGAUGACCUCAGUGUAUGGCCUAAGCCAGUGAUUCUGGACUUCAGCCAUAUUUCAGCAUCCUGAGGUACAGUGCACCAAUACCUCUGCUCCAUGUUGAGUCAAAGCAGUUAACACAGCCAAGGUUUUCAGAAGACACUGAUGAUAUCAGUAGCUAUUGACUGUUUCCAGCUGGGCAAACAAAGAAGUAAAUUUAAUAAGUCUUCUAAAUUUGUCCUUGCCAUGAUGAUAAAUAAGUUGAUCUUGAUAAUGAAUGAAAUUCUGGCAAAUUAAUUAUAACUUGCCAUAAUGAGAAAUAACUUUAUGCUGAGUACAGCAGACACACAAGCCCUUGAGGACACAUGCCUGAGGAUUCUGAUGAGGAUAUUAUGUCUAAAUAUGUACACAUUUGGACCUACAGUCCAGCUUUGAAACAAUGGAAGACCUAGUUUCAAAUUCAAGGUUUCUUUGAGUAGAAAUUCACUUUACCUCUCUUUGCAUGGCAAUGGGGCCAAUCUUCCCUAAGGUGCCCCUUACAAGAAAAGAAAUCAUGCUGAUAAGAUUCCAGACUUCAGCAGACAUGGGGAGCCUUGGGAGGAGCCUGAAUCACUGAUGGAAUUGGACUGUGCAUGGAGAUGGUUGAGCAAGAUGAGGGUAAGUGCCGGGGCAUGGCCAGGUCAUACUGGGAGACAAUGAGCAGCACUGAUGCAGACAAAGAUAAAGUCAACAGUUUGUGCUUCAGCAUCAAAAACUCAAACCAAGCCAGGCGCGGUGGCUCACGCCUAGAAUCCCAGCACUUUGGGAGGCUGAGGCGGGUGGAUCACGAGGUCAAGAAAUCAAGACCAUUCUGGUCAACAAGGUGAAUCCCCGUCUCUACUAAAACUACAAAAAUUAGCUGGGCAUGGUGGUGCGCGCCUGUAGUUUCAGCUACUCGGGAGGCUGAGGCAGGAGAAUUGCUUGAACCCAGGAGGCGGAGGUUGCGGUGGGCCGAGAUCGUGCCAUUGCACUCCAGUCUGGGUGACAACAGCGAAACUCUGUCUCAAAAAAAGAAAAAAAAAAUCAAACAAAAAAGGAAUUUGCUUUUAGUAAUAAGUAUUUUUCUAUUUACAUGAGAAUUUAAUCUCAAAUCAUAAAAAUAGUAAGUCCAGGGCAUAAAACCUAAACCAUAGCUCAUAGUUACUCUUUCUUAAUGGAGGUAUCAGUAAAAUCUUCUUCAUAAAACAUACAUUGUGGUUAUAAAAAGGCAAAAGUUGACCAGGUGCAGUGGCUCAUGCCAGCAGUCCCAGCACUUUGGGAGGCCGAGACGGGUGGAUCACGAUGUCAGGAUAUCAAGACCAUCUUGGCCAACAUGCUGAAACCCUGUCUCUGCUAAAAACACAAAACUUAGCCAGGCAUGGUGGCACGUGCCUGUAGUCCCAGCUACUUGGGAGACUGAGGCAGGAGAAUCACUUGAACCCAGGAUGCAGAGGUUGCAGUGAACUGAGAUUGUACCACUGCAUUUCAGCCUGGUGACAGAGUAAGACUGUCUCAAAAAAAGGAAGGAAGAAAAGCAAAAUUCUUAGUGAAAAUCAUAGGUGUACCUUAGAAGAGAGAAUUAAAUAUAGUCAAGGGAAGACCAAGUCUCAUAGUUCUCUUGUAUAUUCCAAAGUUCCAGGGAAAUGCCAGGUAACAGAGGAUAUUUCCCAUGCUGUUAAAGCAAGGUUGCAGACACUAAUGAAUUCUGGGCCCAAUACUCCAGGAGGGCACACCUCUGUCCUGGAAAAUUGUACAGGAAUGAAUACUUUUCCUUUGACUCAUUCUGGUUAUUCAUCCAGGAUCACAGAAACUAAACAAUGGAAAUAUGGCCAAAUUCAUGAUUUGCUAACCCUCUUCUCAGGUUUCUUACCUGACUCUUAGGAUAACAGCAUUACUUUGAAGCAUAUGAUGAAGAUAUGCUGUCCAAAUACGUGCACGGUUUUGAGCAAAAUGCCUGAUACAAAUUGGUCAACAAACAAUUACUGGAUGAUGAUAUGAAUAUUUACUGAAUGACAUGGAUCCUAUGAAUAACUGUGGAAUAAUUGUUGUGAUUGCUUUUAUUAGCAGUGCUCAAAACUCAUCUCUGUGUGACCUUGCAAGUAAGCCACAUAACUGUGAACCUGCAGCUUCAUCAGUUUUAAAAUGAAGGAACGUGACAGAUUUUCAUUCUGCCACAGAAUGUCAGGCCUCCCAGACACCAGAACAUACAUUUACGUAAAGCCUUUGAUAUAUUUCCACGCAGUAUCCCUACAGGUAGUUGGAGGAUGGUGGGGGCUGCAGAGAGGCACGCUUUCCAAUGGGAUUGAGGCAGUCCUU